This 94-nucleotide microRNA precursor is filed under the name Canis lupus familiaris (dog). Its description in RNAcentral is "mir-8834 microRNA precursor family". It matches the Rfam family "mir-8834 microRNA precursor family". Lineage: Eukaryota; Metazoa; Chordata; Mammalia; Carnivora; Canidae. RNAcentral also lists the same sequence under 1 other name. The record is from Rfam by way of RNAcentral.
AGGAGGAACAGCCCCAGUGGCGGGGCAGCUCUGGAAACCUGGAUUCAGCUCCGGCAGGAACUCCGUCUUCAGGGCCUGGAGGCUCCGGGGCGGG